Molecule: long non-coding RNA, 781 nt
Filed under: Cyanistes caeruleus (blue tit)
Lineage: Eukaryota; Metazoa; Chordata; Aves; Passeriformes; Paridae
Description: lncRNA (ENSCCEG00000018711.1)
Source: RNAcentral
GAUGGGUAAAAGCUUCAAACUGAGAGAUUUUUAGGAGGGAUAUUGGGAAGGAAUUAUUCCCUGUGAGUGUCCAAGGCCAGGCUGGACAGGGCAGCCUGGGAUAGUGGAAGGUAUCCCUGAAAUGUAAAUUUACCCUCAGAAUCAUCAAUUUUUAUUCCCACCUCCUUUGCCUGUUGCAGGACUCCAGGACAAACAUAAACCUUUUCCUUUCCUUUUUCCUCACUGGUGCCUCUGAACCAGAGCAUUGGACACCGGGACAAUGCGGGAUUCAAAACAUUCCAUGAGCUUGGAAUUGUUUGUGGCACACAGGACAGGAGAAGCUCCUUAACACCCACGGGGCCUGGCCAAAACAAAACUUGCAAGUCAGGCUGAGAAAGGCUUGAGAUGAUGAGAAACUCUUUGGGAUAAAUAUUUGGACAACAUCCAGCAUGGUGGGACCUGCUCUGGAUUGGAGCAUUGAAAACAAACUCCACAACAACAACCCUGUGCAACACAUGGAAAAUUAUGGGAUUGUUGAUGGUUUAAAGUGUUUCACAUUUUUGGAGUAACAGAGCUGUAUCAUGAGAGAAGACAACCACAUCCUCUGUGUGUCCUUGCAGGAUUUCAUUGUUUGACUGGUGACAAGCAGAGCAAUUAAAACUGAAGGUAAAUUCUUUGCUCUGAGUCAUAUUGUGCAAAUAUUUUCCCUUUUGGGGUUGAGCUACUCUGGGUUUAAGCUCCGCCAGAAGCCUGGAUUAUGAUUUUGUUAUGUGUGCUGAUGGUUUAAUGUUGUGAGAGAAGG